GGGGAAUUUUCCGCAAUGGGCGAAAGCCUGACGGAGCAAUACCGCGUGAGGGAGGAAGGCUCUUGGGUUGUAAACCUCUUUUCUCAGGGAAUAAGAAAGUGAAGGUACCUGAGGAAUAAGCAUCGGCUAACUCCGUGCCAGCAGCCGCGGUAAUACGGAGGAUGCAAGCGUUAUCCGGAAUGAUUGGGCGUAAAGCGUCCGCAGGUGGCGAUGUAAGUCUGCUGUUAAAGAGCAAAGCUUAACUUUGUAAAAGCAGUGGAAACUACAUAGCUAGAGUACGUUCGGGGCAGAGGGAAUUCCUGGUGUAGCGGUGAAAUGCGUAGAGAUCAGGAAGAACACCGGUGGCGAAGGCGCUCUGCUAGGCCGUAACUGACACUGAGGGACGAAAGCUAGGGGAGCGAAUGGGAUUAGAUACCCCAGUAGUCCUAGCCGUAAACGAUGGAUACUAGGCGUUGCGAGUAUCGACCCUCGCAGUGCCGGAGCCAACGCGUUAAGUAUCCCGCCUGGGGAGUACGCACGCAAGUGUGAAACUCAAAGGAAUUGACGGGGGCCCGCACAAGCGGUGGAGUAUGUGGUUUAAUUCGAUGCAACGCGAAGAACCUUACCAAGACUUGACAUGUCGCGAAUCCUCUUGAAAGGGAGGAGUGCCCUAGGGAGCGCGAACACAGGUGGUGCAUGGCUGUCGUCAGCUCGUGUCGUGAGAUGUUGGGUUAAGUCCCGCAACGAGCGCAACCCUCGUUUUUAGUUGCCAGCAUUAAGUUGGGCACUCUAGAGAGACUGCCGGUGACAAACCGGAGGAAGGUGGGGAUGACGUCAAGUCAGCAUGCCCCUUACGUCUUGGGCUACACACGUACUACAAUGCUACGAACAGAGGGCAGCAAGCUAGUGAUAGCAAGCAAAUCCCGGAAAUCGUAGCUCAGUUCAGAUCGAAGCUUGCAACUCAGCUUCGUGAAGGAGGAAUCGCUAGUAAUUGCAGGUCAGCAUACUGCAGUGAAUUCGUUCCCGGGCCUUGUACACACCGCCCGUCACACCAUGGAAGCUGGCAACGCCCGAAGUCAUUACCCCAACUUUUAGGAGAGGGGGAUGCCUAAGGCAGUGCUGGUGACUGGGGUGAAGUCGUAACAAGGUAGCCGUACCGGAAGGUGUGGCUGGAUCACCUCCUUUUAGGGAGACCUACCCAACUGUAAAAUCGGUUGCCAAAAGCAAGAUAGAGAAUACAGAUGGUCAAACCUAGGUCGGUCGCAGGAAAUUGUGUAAGCUUUCAAACUAUGGUUUGGUUCGUAUUGGGGCUAUUAGCUCAGGUGGUUAGAGCGCACCCCUGAUAAGGGUGAGGUCCCUGGUUCGAGUCCAGGAUGGCCCACCUGAACAAGGAACAAGGAACAAGGAAAAAAAGAAUAACAUAAUUAUUUCUUUUGCCUUUUGCCUUUUAAAUUUUGCCUUGUUGAUGGGGGUUUAGCUCAGUUGGUAGAGCGCCUGCUUUGCAAGCAGGAUGUCAGCGGUUCGAGUCCGCUAACCUCCACCUAGAAAGAAAAAAGAGAAGGAAAAAACAGCAACUAACUCUCGUUAGACUGCUGGGUAAAAAAUCCUAGCCAGAACCUUAAAAACUGCAUAGAAACGCGAUUAAAAGCAGGCAGACACAGACAUCGAAAGAUGUAAGUGAAUGCAGGUGAGACACCAAAUGUAUUGUGGUCAAGCGAAUAAGAGCUAAUGGUGGAUACCUAGGCACACAGAG
Molecule: unclassified non-coding RNA, 1732 nt
Filed under: Nostocaceae cyanobacterium HA4218-MV3
Lineage: Bacteria; Bacillati; Cyanobacteriota; Cyanophyceae; Nostocales; Nostocaceae
Description: bacterial SSU rRNA
Rfam family: Bacterial small subunit ribosomal RNA (bases 1-1164)
Source: RNAcentral